Molecule: ribosomal RNA, 492 nt
Filed under: uncultured bacterium
Lineage: Bacteria
Description: partial 16S ribosomal RNA
Rfam family: Bacterial small subunit ribosomal RNA
Source: RNAcentral
AGUGAACGCUGGCGGUAGGCCUAACACAUGCAAGUCGAACGGCAGCACAGUAAGAGCUUGCUCUUACGGGUGGCGAGUGGCGGACGGGUGAGGAAUACAUCGGAAUCUACUUUUUCGUGGGGGAUAACGUAGGGAAACUUACGCUAAUACCGCAUACGGCCUACGGGUGAAAGCAGGGGAUCUUCGGACCUUGCGCGAUUGAAUGAGCCGAUGUCGGAUUAGCUAGUUGGCGGGGUAAAGGCCCACCAAGGCGACGAUCCGUAGCUGGCCUGAGAGGAUGAUCAGCCACACUGGAACUGAGACACGGUCCAGACUCCUACGGGAGGCAGCAGUGGGGAAUAUUGGACAAUGGGCGCAAGCCUGAUCCAGCCAUACCGCGUGGGUGAAGAAGGCCUUCGGGUUGUAAAGCCCUUUUGUUGGGAAAGAAAAGCAGCAGGUUAAUACCCCGCUGUUCUGACGGUACCCAAAGAAUAAGCACCGGCUAACUUCGUG